RNAcentral lists this ribosomal RNA (549 nucleotides) under Bacillus sp. CSu2_45. RNAcentral's name for it is "bacterial SSU rRNA". It matches the Rfam family "Bacterial small subunit ribosomal RNA", at positions 79 to 611 of the family's 1533-position model. The record is from RNAcentral. Lineage: Bacteria; Bacillati; Bacillota; Bacilli; Caryophanales; Bacillaceae.
CUUGCUCCCUGAUGUUAGCGGCGGCCGGGUGAGUAACACGUGGGUAACCUGCCUGUAAGACUGGGACUCCUCCAGGAAACCGGGGCUAAUACCGGAUGCUUGUUUGAACCGCAUGGUUCAAACAUAAAAGGUGGCUUCGGCUACCACUUACAGAUGGACCCGCGGCGCAUUAGCUAGUUGGUGAGGUAACGGCUCACCAAGGCAACGAUGCGUAGCCGACCUGAGAGGGUGAUCGGCCACACUGGGACUGAGACACGGCCCAGACUCCUACGGGAGGCAGCAGUAGGGAAUCUUCCGCAAUGGACGAAAGUCUGACGGAGCAACGCCGCGUGAGUGAUGAAGGUUUUCGGAUCGUAAAGCUCUGUUGUUAGGGAAGAACAAGUACCGUUCGAAUAGGGCGGUACCUUGACGGUACCUAACCAGAAAGCCACGGCUAACUACGUGCCAGCAGCCGCGGUAAUACGUAGGUGGCAAGCGUUGUCCGGAAUUAUUGGGCGUAAAGGGCUCGCAGGCGGUUUCUUAAUUCUGAUGUGAAAGCCCCCCGGCUCA